UUUCGCAAUGCCCGAAAGGGUGACGAAGCGACGCCGCGUGAGUGAGGAAGGCCUUCGGGUUGUAAAGCUCUGUCAGGAGUUAAGAAAUAUAAGUGUGUUAAUACCACAUUUAUUUGACGAAGGCUCCAAAGGAAGCCACGGCUAACUCUGUGCCAGCAGCCGCGGUAAUACAGAGGUGGCAAGCGUUGUUCCGAAUUAUUGGGCGUAAAGAGCACGUAGGUGGGUUUGUAAGUCAGAUGUGAAAGCCUUCUGUUCAACGGAAGAAUUGCAUCUGAAACUGCGAGUCUUGAGUGUAGGAGGGGAGAAUGGAACUUCUGGUGGAGCGGUGAAAUGCGUAGAUAUCAGAAGGAACGCCGGCGGCGAAAGCGAUUCUCUGGCCUAUUACUGACACUCAGUGUGCGAAAGCUAGGGGAGCAAACGGGAUUAGAUACCCCGGUAGUCCUAGCUGUAAACGAUGGGCACUAAGUAGAGGGGUUUUG
Molecule: ribosomal RNA, 479 nt
Filed under: uncultured anaerobic ammonium-oxidizing bacterium
Lineage: Bacteria
Description: bacterial SSU rRNA
Rfam family: Bacterial small subunit ribosomal RNA
Source: RNAcentral